AUUAUUACUGUAAAAUGAGCAAAUGCUUACUGUAGAACUUGUAUACAGCAUGUUGCUGUAGAUCUGCAAAGCAUCAUGGUCUUUUUUCAACGGCGGGUAAAUUCUACAGUAAAAAUAUUUUUCCUGUGAAUCACAAUACAGCAAUUUCUAAAGGAUUUUUUUCUUCAGCCAAGGAAAGCUACGAGAUUCCACACUUUCAUCUGAAUUUUUACUUCAGAAAGGGUUGAUGACGUAUGCGAGUGCGACCUCCGCACGCAGGCUGAAACCAGUCUCUCGAGCUGAAAGAAAACGCAGCUGAGGAGAUAUGAGGAAACUUCCACCUACAGUAAGCAGAUGCUGAGGCCCAGAUUUCCAUGCUAAGCACUCCAAGGCUCAUCAUGCUCGGAGAGUCCAAUCUGAGGGCAAAAAAUGGAUGCUUUCCAUCGAGUGCUGAGUUCUCCUCCAAUUGAGUGACGGUUGUGAUUUCACUUCUGCUCUAGCCUUUUUGCGUCAUACUAUGUAUGAGGCAGCCACUACAUUGGGAUUUAUCCAGAGGUAAGCACUUAUUUGUUUUUUUAUAUAGUUUUGACUAAGAAUGGGAACAAAUAUUUGAGUACUCAUUCUUUAACCAACUACCCGAUUAGUAAAAUACUUCUUAAAGUGUUUUUUUUUUAAAUGAACUGUUGUGCUAUUGUUAAAUAUCAAACGUUUAAUUUAACUCGCCAUGCAAAAGGUAGAAAAGCAGCACAGCUAGUCUAAUACAGUGGCAGCCGGUGACUUCUUUUUUCGAGGGCGUUUGUCACAACAUGUAUGUAGCCCAUCAUGUGUGUGGUUCGUCAUUUCAAAAUAUGUGUUUGGCGCGUCGAGUGAAACAAUACUUUUCCAUUCACAAAUUAACAAAUAUUUACCAUAAAUUUCACUGUUGUAUCACUAACUGUAAACUGUAAACUCCACAAACCACCAACAGAGCAUAUAAAAAAAUUAAAAUUGUUUAUUUAAAAGUAAAUCACU
Non-coding RNA from Misgurnus anguillicaudatus (oriental weatherfish), 990 nucleotides. The record is from RefSeq and is a predicted model, not a curated record. Lineage: Eukaryota; Metazoa; Chordata; Actinopteri; Cypriniformes; Cobitidae.